UACAGAGGUCUCAAGCGUUGUUCGGAUUCAUUGGGCGUAAAGGGUGCGUAGGCGGCGCGGUAAGUCGGGUGUGAAAUCUCGGAGCUUAACUCCGAAACUGCAUUCGAUACUGCCGUGCUUGAGGACUGGAGAGGAGACUGGAAUUUACGGUGUAGCGGUGAAAUGCGUAGAUAUCGUAAGGAAGACCAGUGGCGAAGGCGAGUCUCUGGGAUGAUACUGACGCUGAGGCGCGAAAGCCAGGGGAGCAAACAGG
This 253-nucleotide ribosomal RNA is filed under the name uncultured bacterium. RNAcentral's name for it is "partial 16S ribosomal RNA". It matches the Rfam family "Bacterial small subunit ribosomal RNA", at positions 524 to 776 of the family's 1533-position model. The record is from RNAcentral.